This is a long non-coding RNA of Felis catus (domestic cat), 2189 nucleotides long. RefSeq lists it as uncharacterized. Lineage: Eukaryota; Metazoa; Chordata; Mammalia; Carnivora; Felidae. The transcript is spliced from 4 exons. The record is from RefSeq and is a predicted model, not a curated record.
CGGACGCCCAACCGACUGAGCCACCCAGGCGCCCCUAUUCCUAAAAUCUUUAAAGAGGCUUUUAAAAAUUUGUAUUUCAGUCAUGAGUUCACCAAGUAAUUUACUCACAAACUUAUUCGCAGAACCCAUUAGAAUUCUUUACUAUCACAACAUCAGUGAGCAGCGGAUCUGGAAUUAACUCUUUCUGGUGCCUUAUGAACAGAGAAUUGCUCAAAGCCAAGAAGAGAAGGGGGGCUGGAGCCUCUGGUCACCCCACCCUCCACGCCCAGGGCGCAGGCCUGAGCCCAAACACGGGUCCCAGUCAGGCCGACCAGCCUAAGCUGAACACCAACGUUCCAGUUUCACCAUCUGGAGGUCUAAAGACACGAAAAAUGUCAACUUUGAAAAAUCCAACGUCCUUAAGUGGCCUUUCCUUCCAUGUGUACAUUUUCAAACCCGGAACAGUUUAGGGGCAUGGAUGAGACUUUCCGGGUAAAGCAGGCAGGCCACCAAAUGAGCUGCCAGGUUGGAAAAGAGAUGCAAAGCACACUUUCUAGAAGAGGGAGGGGCAGACCGGUAACUACCAAAUGUGGAUGACGUGAAACAAACCAAAAGCUAGUAACUCCUGGGCAGAUGGGGUGGGGGGGGGGGGGUCCUGGCCUGAUUCCACCAAAGGCUCCCUGUGGAGCCCCGUGCAGUGAGCCCCACAAGGCCCCUAACCAGCAACCUGGGGAGGCCAGGACCCUCGUGCAACCCAAACAUUUCUGCAACGAGAUCAUCUCUGUUCUGGGAACCUAACUGCUUUUGUUUUCAUCAAACAAAAAAAAAAAUUGUUUUGUGGCUCUCAGGGUGGGGCCGUCUAUUCUUACAGGGAAUAAAAUUAUGACAAAGAAAUGAAGGACAACUGGCCCUCUUGGGCAAAUAACAAUAAGCCAAGAAUGUGGUUUCUCCUAACCCUGACCUAAGUAUCUUUUUUGUUACACUACAUUACUAUUUACCAACUACAUGGAAAAAACCCACAGGUGCCGGGAAGGGGGAGGUUGCAAGGUAAGUGAUCCAGGUGCAAGGAAGCAGGGGGAGGUACAGUCAGAACUAGGAAUUCUGGAGCCAGAGAGACGCUUCCUGUGUGGUUCUGGGAAAAUCAGGGUCCCCAGAAAGUCUCGGCUUCCUCCUUGGCCAAACAAAGACCCCCUCCGCCAGGGAUGGGUGUGAGGGCCAGCAAUGGCAUGAUGUAAACACCUGUAACAGGUGCCUAGAGGUACUCAAUAAUGGUGGAUGACGUCACGAACGUCUCCUUUCUGACAGAAUAAAGGGUCCAGAAGCCCACAUGUUCUGACCUCAACGUGGCUUUACCAUGGCAUUCAGUUCUUAGUGCAAUGUCUCUUGCUAAAUCAAAUCUGAUUUUCCCGAAGCCGACCCUCAUAAAAGCAGCACCAAGUUCCAAGUGGCAGUGGGAGGAGCCGCCAGCAGAUUCACAGCUGAUUCUUCUACAGCAGGGGCCGGUCAGAGGAAACGUGUUAGUCGUUGAAGGCCAUGCGGUCUCUGUUGCAACUACUCAACUCUGCCGUUGUCCAACAAAAGCAACCACAGACUGUGGCAACCGCAGAUGUGGCUGUGCUUCCGUAAGACUUGAUUUAUAAAAACACAACCCACCGUUCACCGGCCCCUGUCCCACCGCUCCUAUACUUGAACCCAGGGCUCAGACUCUAAACUGUAGCUGUGGGAACCGAAAACCAGACGUGCUCCGAAAGCUACAAAGACGGAAUCAUAACGAAGAGGCCACUUGUGCAAUACGCAGAUACAGGAGCUGUGUGACAGUUGUUAAGGCCCCACGGCUCUGUCGGGAGCACGCUUCGGCCACCUCGGAACACCCCCUUCCUUCCUCCCUGGGAAGGUUCAACAGUGCAUUGAUUUAUAAGUUACCUGAUUAGCGACUACCGCCCCUCGCUAAUAUGUAAACGCUACGAAGGUGGAGGCUAUUCGCAUCUGUGCUCGUGACCCUGUGCCAACACAGAUGCAGGUGUUCAAAAGAUUUUCUACUCGUUUACACACCCACACCUUCGACGGGAGGAUGAACAAUAAGAAGUUUGAAACUUUGGGGGCGCCUGGGUGGCGCAGUCGGUUAAGCGUCCGACUUCAGCCAGGUCACGAUCUCGCAGUCCGUGAGUUCGAGCCCCGCGUCGGGCUCUGGGCUGAUGGCUCAGAGCCUG